This 349-nucleotide RNase P RNA is filed under the name Parcubacteria group bacterium RIFCSPHIGHO2_01_FULL_45_26. Its description in RNAcentral is "RNase P RNA component class A". It matches the Rfam family "Bacterial RNase P class A". From Rfam's summary of the family: Ribonuclease P (RNase P) is a ubiquitous endoribonuclease, found in archaea, bacteria and eukarya as well as chloroplasts and mitochondria. Its best characterised activity is the generation of mature 5'-ends of tRNAs by cleaving the 5'-leader elements of precursor-tRNAs. Cellular RNase Ps are ribonucleoproteins. The record is from RNAcentral.
UAGGUGUGUUGGGUAGUCGCCCAGCCCCAGAUUUGAGUUAAUUAUUCAAAUCUAGGGCUGGGAGGAAAGUCCGGACACGCACUCGUUAAAUUGAGGAUGGUAGCAGGUAAUGCCUGUCGGGGGUAACCCUAGAGAUGCGAACAGAGACGAGUCUCUGCCUUUGGUGGAGGGUGAAACGGCAAAAUUCUUACCAGCAUGCAAGGGUCGUGUCCAGCCCCAGAUUUGAAUUGUUAAAAUUUUAACAAUUCAAAUCUGGGGCUGGGAGUGCCCGCUUGAGGUUGCCAGCAAUGGUAAUCCUAGAGAAAUGAUUACACAAAAACAGAAUCCGGCUUAUAGACACACCUAAAAA